GGAAGAUUCGAACCUGCCGCAGGUUCGGGUCGAACGCAGUGAGACAACGGAGCCGUUUACGGCGACGGCCCGAAGGGCGAGCAAAGCGAGUCAUCCUGCACGACCCACCA
This 110-nucleotide small RNA is filed under the name Salmonella enterica. RNAcentral's name for it is "partial RtT sRNA". It matches the Rfam family "RtT RNA", at positions 17 to 130 of the family's 130-position model. From Rfam's summary of the family: This family represents a bacterial cis-regulatory element known as RtT RNA. The exact function of RtT is unknown although it is thought that it may be involved in changing the cellular response in relation to amino acid starvation. Lineage: Bacteria; Pseudomonadati; Pseudomonadota; Gammaproteobacteria; Enterobacterales; Enterobacteriaceae. The record is from RNAcentral.